RNAcentral lists this long non-coding RNA (735 nucleotides) under Oryctolagus cuniculus (rabbit). Its description in RNAcentral is "lncRNA (ENSOCUG00000038847.1)". The record is from RNAcentral. Lineage: Eukaryota; Metazoa; Chordata; Mammalia; Lagomorpha; Leporidae.
AUGUGUUUUGUAUUCUCAGCCAAAAUGCUAACAAUAGCACACAACACGGUGACAAGUAGAAGUACAAGGGCCACUGAGUGUGACUAUUUCCCCAAUAUAUCAUGGCGACACAAACAUCUGUUACUAAAUAGCAGGGAUGGUCUAUGGCACUCUUGCAGGAUGUCACAAGCACCAUUGAAGAUUCAAGGAGUAAAGCGGAAGGGAGAAAUGGCAGUGAUCAUCUAUAAACUCAGAACAAUGUUCAGUGAUCACUUGUCUCAAAAGAUGGAAACCAGGCCCAACUCAGCAGUGUAAAUGAACCUGAAACUCAAAGGCCAUCUCAAGGAGUCUGAACCCAAGCAAACCAAAACAAGGUAAUGAUUCCCAGUGGAUGAUGGAAGACCUUACACAUUGUCUUGGCAGAUGCUGAGCAUGGGCUUGUUUUAUAUUAUUCAAAAGUGAUAAGUGGGAAAAUUAAGAAAGGUUUCCUAAGUGGUUUGUUUGGAAAGUUUGUAUUAUUUAAAGACAAACUAAUUGACAUUCAGGCAUUGCUCUCUUAACACAAGCAAAUUUCUCGGAAAAUAAUUGAGCAUUUAAACCACUAUGUAAAAAAAAAAUUUAAGAAAUUAACAAUUAAACAUAGGCUAAAGUAGCUCUCCUAAACUUCUUAACCUAUCACAGUGCCAGAUCCACAGGGCUUAAGGGUAGAAGUUAUCUAUGACCUUUGUGGGAAUAAAAAGUAUCAGCAUCAAAUCA